This 803-nucleotide ribosomal RNA is filed under the name uncultured prokaryote. RNAcentral's name for it is "bacterial SSU rRNA". It matches the Rfam family "Bacterial small subunit ribosomal RNA", at positions 665 to 1482 of the family's 1533-position model. The record is from RNAcentral.
AAUUCGUGGUGUAGCGGUGAAAUGCUUAGAUNUCACGAAGAACUCCGAUUGCGAAGGCAGCUUGCUGGACUGUAACUGACGCUGAGGCACGAAAGCGUGGGGAUCAAACNGGAUUAGAUACCCUGGUANNCCACGCCGUAAACGAUGAAUGCUAGCUGUUAGCGAUAUACUGUUAGCGGCACAGAGAAAUCGUUAAGCAUUCCACCUGGGGAGUACGCCGGCAACGGUGAAACUCAAAGGAAUUGACGGGGGCCCGCACAAGCGGAGGAACAUGUGGUUUAAUUCGAUGAUACGCGAGGAACCUUACCUGGGCUUAAAUUGCAGUGGAAUAACGUGGAAACAUGUUAGCCUUCGGGCCGCUGUGAAGGUGCUGCAUGGUUGUCGUCAGCUCGUGCCGUGAGGUGUCGGCUUAAGUGCCAUAACGAGCGCAACCCUCAUCGAUAGUUACUAACAGGUUAAGCUGAGGACUCUAUCGAGACUGCCGACGUAAGUCGUGAGGAAGGUGGGGAUGACGUCAAAUCAGCACGGCCCUUACGUCCAGGGCUACACACGUGUUACAAUGGGGGGUACAAAGGGCAGCUACCUGGCGACAGGAUGCUAAUCUCAAAAACCUCUCUCAGUUCGGAUUGGAGUCUGCAACCCGACUCCAUGAAGCUGGAUUCGCUAGUAAUCGCGCAUCAGCCACGGCGCGGUGAAUACGUUCCCGGGCCUUGUACACACCGCCCGUCAAGCCAUGGGAGCCGGGGGGACCUGAAGUAUGCAACCGUAAGGAGCGUCCUAGGGUAAAACUGGUGACUGGGGCU